Triticum dicoccoides is the source of this 1654-nucleotide long non-coding RNA. RefSeq lists it as uncharacterized. The transcript has 4 exons. Lineage: Eukaryota; Viridiplantae; Streptophyta; Magnoliopsida; Poales; Poaceae. The record is from RefSeq and is a predicted model, not a curated record.
AGCAAUGCCGACAAACAUGGUUUAUGAUGAUAUUGGUGGUCUGAAGCUUUAGAUCGUCGGGGCUGCUCUCAUUCGUUCAAUUUGCCAGUGAUCCUUCCAUUCUACUGCUGCUCAUUAUUAUCAUAUGAAGGAGGUGUUCUUCCGUUACAAUACUCCUGACGUGUUUCAUGAAAUGUCUAUGAGCUGGAACAUGUAUAACCUUUCAAGUUCACUGAUGUGGUUACCACUACAACACACGUCCCUCUAAGGACCAAGGGUGGGCAUGAUCUUCUACAAGGUUGUCUGUGACUAUUAGUACGGGAUCAACUUUGCGGUGUCCCCAUCGCUUCAAGUCAAGCUAAUAGAGCUAAAUGGGUAUCCAAUUUUAGAAAGCACACUUAAGAAACAUGCACACGUGUCUUUAGAUCCUAUGGAGCAUUCCUAAUAAUGACCAUCUAUUUAACUAUCUUGGAUCAUUACCAUUACAAAAUGCAGCAUGGCAUUCAUAAUGUUCAGUUAUUCAUAAAUGUGGCAUUUAAUUAUUCUCUUGGCAUGAUAUUUAAGCAUGUUGCAUAUACCAAUCUGUUGAUAAUUCAAUUAUUGAUUCUGAUGUACAAACAUGCAAAACCAUUGCCUGUUUGGAUGAUGCACAUGAGUAUGUUUUUGUUAGUUUUCGGUGAUGUAUGUCGUGAAGCGGGACGGGCGGACGGAGACGGUGCACUUCGACAAGAUCACGGUGUGGUUCAAGAAGCUCAGCUAUGGGCUCAGCCAGGAGCACCGCGACCCCGUGCUCGGUCUGCGUCAGGGUAUACAUGGGCGUCACCACCAGCCAGCUCGACGAGCUCGCCGCCGAGACCGCCGCCGCGCUCACGGCCUCCCAGCCUGACUAUGCCUCCCUCGCGGCAAGGAUUGUUGUGCCCAACCUGCCGCCAAGUGGAAAUAGUCUGUGUGGCGCUUGUAAAUAGAGAGCAUUCUGGUAGAAAGGUACAGGAAAGAAUAGGGAAACUUCUGUCAUUUUCUUUGGUCUCUGAAAAAUAAAUGGUGAUAUGGGCUGAUACAUUGCUAAAUUACAUGAUACAAACUCACUUCUUUUUUUAUUUUUGGUUUACUUUGUUGUGCUACAAUGGCUCUCCUAGGAAUGUUCUUCCAUGCUUUGAUGUGCACAAUCCAGAAAGUGCAUGCAUCCAGAAACCAAAUAGGAUUUUUUAUGUGUUAUCUUCUCUUAAAUCUAUAGACCUAAAGUGGUCGGACCCUUCCCUGGACCCUGCGCAAGCGGGAGCUACAUGCACCAGCUGAAAGAUUAGCAAGACUGGCUAAAUUCUGAACAUGUUCCAUGUGAGAGAAAUAGCAUGUUGAUUUCAUCUUGAAAUAAUCAUAGCUGAGGGACGAGCUUCGUAACUAAGGGUCAUGUGUAGAGCUGAAGGAAGAAGUUGCGAGGCUUGGAACUCUCCUUGUAAAGGGCUCAGGACAGCAGUGAGGACAAUGCCUCUUUAGUUGUAAUUGUGAUACUCCUGAUCUGCAAGUAAACACUCCUGUGAUACUAAAUGUUGGUUGUUAGUACAGAGGUGGUGACAUUAGUUGGUUCUCUGGUAUUGAUUUCAUGAUUUGUGGUUAAUACAUGAUGUAAUACAAUCCACACUGCAUUAUAUUUCCAGUUACAUCUUUUACUUACUCA